Molecule: long non-coding RNA, 661 nt
Filed under: Sinocyclocheilus anshuiensis
Lineage: Eukaryota; Metazoa; Chordata; Actinopteri; Cypriniformes; Cyprinidae
Description: lncRNA (ENSSANG00000035233.1)
Source: RNAcentral
AAGGCCUCUAAAUCUGGAUCACCAUUUAAUACACCUGGAUUUAUAUCAUUGACGCAAACUCCUCUCAUUUGGACUCCAUCGCCACCCACAUUUGUUUUACUCCGUGAUUUGCAAAAGCUUUGCGAAUCAGUUCAGAUGAAUCGACUCAAAAGAACCACUGACUCACUAUGGACUGUUCUAAGAACAUUUAGCUACAGUAUCAACAACUGGAGAUACAAAUGUCAUGAUCCAACCCUAAAGGAACGACAGCUGUGAGUGACGGGACACAUGAGACACUUUACUGCUGGAUUACAGAAUGUGUUUGCACCAAAACAGUGACAGUCUGGAUACAGGCACACACCUCAAUUAAUGGUCAUAUUUCACCACACAAAGAAAUUAUUUUUUUGCCAUAAAGAAAAUGAAGACUGUUAGUAGAACCAUCAAGAUUGUUUGCAUUGUGACAUUAUUUUCAUGACAGACCUUUUUUUUGGGGGGGGGGUGAAGCACAUGCAUAUAUAAAUAAUGUGUACUAUUAUAAAUAAUAUAUCAAUUAAAUAUAAAUCUUAGAUGAAAACCUUAACCUUAACCUAACCUAUACAAAUUAAACUAAAAUUAGAAAUGCUGUCUUGGCAAAUAUCUAAAAUAAAACAAGCUUAAGCUGAACUACUAAAAUUACUACAAC